This 400-nucleotide ribosomal RNA is filed under the name uncultured bacterium. RNAcentral's name for it is "bacterial SSU rRNA". It matches the Rfam family "Bacterial small subunit ribosomal RNA", at positions 362 to 776 of the family's 1533-position model. The record is from RNAcentral.
UAUUGGGCAAUGGAGGAAACUCUGACCCAGCAACGCCGCGUGAAUGAUGAAGGUCUUCGGAUUGUAAAGUUCUUUUCUAAGGGAAGAAGAAAGUGACGGUACCUUCGGAAUAAGCCUCGGCUAACUACGUGCCAGCAGCCGCGGUAAUACGUAGGAGGCAAGCGUUAUCCGGAAUGACUGGGCGUAAAGGGUGCGUAUGUGGUUUGACAAGUUGGUAGCGUAACUCCGAGGCUCAACCUCGGCACUACUACCAAAACUGUUGGACUCGAGUGCAGGAGGGGCAAAUGGAAUUCCUAGUGUAGCGGUGGAAUGCGUAGAUAUUAGGAGGAACACCAGUGGCGAAGGCGAUUUGCUGGACUGUAACUGACACUGAGGCACGAAAGCGUGGGGAGCAAACAGG